Molecule: long non-coding RNA, 1025 nt
Filed under: Fragaria vesca (wild strawberry)
Lineage: Eukaryota; Viridiplantae; Streptophyta; Magnoliopsida; Rosales; Rosaceae
Description: long non-coding RNA (FVES_LNC004117)
Rfam family: tRNA (bases 424-493)
Source: RNAcentral
CCACUUUUCGAUCGAAUUUCCUCACCUCCACCGUCUAGUAUCUAAAUAAUAUUGUGUAGAUCAUCUCUGCAAAAUUUCAGCCAAUUUGGUAAUCGUUAAGGCCCUCAAACUCGAAAAACAAAUGGAUGGACUGAAUUCUGUCUAGUUGUGUUCAUACUAGAAAAACUCGAGUUUGAGGGCCUUAACGAUCACCAAAUUGGCUGAAAUUUUGCAGAGAUGAUCUACACAAUAUUAUCUAGAUACUAGAUGGUGGAGAUGAGGAAAUUCGAUCGGAAAGUGGUGCAAAAAUGGAAAUCCGCACCGAAACCUUCGGUGCGGACGUCCGCAGCCAAGAAGGCAUGUAUAUAAAUAUAUUUAUAUAUAUAUAUGUGUGUGUGUGUGUGUGUAUAUAUUUGUGGAGAUAAUGUCUCUUUACUAGCCCAAUAUUAUUUAGUCUAGUGGCAUAAGUUUCUCUUUGUAAACGAGAAGUUGUGAGUUCGACUCACAAUAUUGUAACACAUUAAAUGUGUAUUUAAUCCAAAAAAAAUAAAAAAUUCUUUACUACAAAUUUUGGUACCUCACUUCUUAUUCCAACAAAUACAUAGGUUGUGAGUUCGACUCACAAUAUUGUAACACAUUAAUUGUGCAUUUGAUCAAAAAAAAAAAAUCUAUUUACUACAAAUUUUGGCACCUCACUUCUCAUUCCUACAAAUACUUAGCACCUCACCUCACUUCUUAAUGAUUCAUCGGAAUAGGUCAAAAUAAGGGUCAUUAUAGUGAAAAAAAAAAAAACAGAAAUAAUUGAGAAUAACUACUUAGAGCAAACUUUAAUAACAUAUCAGCUUUGGUGAGACUGAUAAAGUUGCUCUUAGGCAGUGGGAUGUAUAAUACAGUAAGCCAAAUUUAACCACUCAACUUUCUUUUAAGGUGAUCGAGAUCCCGUGCAAAUGCACGAGUAAAACGCUAAUAUACGAUAAACAGAGCUUCGUGCGUUGUAAAAACCUGUGUGUUUGAAUGUCAGUGAAUUCCCGAGAAUUUAAUCAAAA